Non-coding RNA from Acanthosepion pharaonis, 98 nucleotides. The record is from the annotation of a GenBank genome assembly. NCBI's taxonomy places the organism in Eukaryota, Metazoa, Mollusca, Cephalopoda, Sepiida, Sepiidae.
GUUGAAACACCAGAUCCCAUACAAUUAUCAAAGUUAAGCAAUGCUGAUCCUGGUCAGUAUCUGAAUGGGUGACCACUUGGAAAUACCAGGUGCUGUAA